UACGGAGGAUCCGAGCGUUAUCCGGAUUUAUUGGGUUUAAAGGGUGCGCAGGCGGGGGAUUAAGUCGGCGGUGAAAUUUUGCAGCUCAACUGUAAAAGUGCCUUCGAAACUGGUUUCCUUGAGUGUAGAUGAAGUAGGCGGAAUUUGUGGUGUAGCGGUGAAAUGCAUAGAUAUCACGAGGAACUCCGAUUGCGCAGACAGCUUACUAAACUACUACUGACGCUCAGGCACGAAGGCGUGGGGAUCAAACAGGAUUAGAUACCCCUGUAGUCCCU
Molecule: ribosomal RNA, 275 nt
Filed under: uncultured prokaryote
Description: partial 16S ribosomal RNA
Rfam family: Bacterial small subunit ribosomal RNA
Source: RNAcentral